AGUAUAAGCAAUUAUACCGCGAAACUGCGAAUGGCUCAUUAAAUCAGUUAUCGUUUAUUUGAUAGUUCCCUACUACUUGGAUAACCGUGGUAAUUCUAGAGCUAAUACAUGCAAAAAACCGCGACUUCGGAAGCGGUGUAUUUAUUAGAUUAAAGACCAAUGCCCUUCGGGGCUGCCUGGUGAUUCAUGAUAACUUCUCGAAUCGCACGGCCUUGCGCCGGCGAUGGUUCAUUCAAAUUUCUGCCCUAUCAACUUUCGACUUUAGCGUAGUGGGCUAAAGUGGUUACAACGGGUAACGGAGGGUUAGGGCUCGACCCCGGAGAAGGAGCCUGAGAGACGGCUACUACAUCCAAGGAAGGCAGCAGGCGCGCAAAUUACCCAAUCCCGACACGGGGAGGUAGUGACAAUAAAUACUGAUACAGGGCUCUUUUGGGUCUUGUAAUUGGAAUGAGUACAAUUUAAAUCCCUUAACGAGGAACAAUUGGAGGGCAAGUCUGGUGCCAGCAGCCGCGGUAAUUCCAGCUCCAAUAGCGUAUAUUAAAGUUGUUGUGGUUAAAAAGCUCGUAGUUGAACCUGGGCCUCGCGCAGACCGGUCCGCCUCACCGCGUGCACUGGUCCUGCCGGGGCUUUCACUAGGGGAUUCGCAUGCCCUUCACUGGGCGUGCGCGGAACCUGGACCUUUACUGUGAAAAAAUUAGAGUGUUCAAAGCAGGCCUAUGCUCGAAUACAUUAGCAUGGAAUAAUAGAAUAGGACGUGUGGUUCUAUUUUGUUGGUUAUGGGACCGCCGUAAUGAUUAAUAGGGACAGUCGGGGGCAUCAGUAUUCAAUUGUCAGAGGUGAAAUUCUUGGAUUUAUUGAAGACUAACUACUGCGAAAGCAUUUGCCAAGGAUGUUUUCAUUAAUCAGGAACGAAAGUUAGGGGAUCGAAGACGAUCAGAUACCGUCGUAGUCUUAACCAUAAACUAUGCCGACUAGGGAUCGGGCGAUGUUACUUUUUGACUCGCUCGGCACCUUACGAGAAAUCAAAGUUUGUGGGUUCCUGGGGGAGUAUGGUGGCAACGCUGAAACUUAAAGAAAUUGACGGAAGGG
RNAcentral lists this ribosomal RNA (1089 nucleotides) under Lulworthia cf. purpurea. RNAcentral describes it as "SSU rRNA". It matches the Rfam family "Eukaryotic small subunit ribosomal RNA", at positions 62 to 1164 of the family's 1831-position model. Lineage: Eukaryota; Fungi; Ascomycota; Sordariomycetes; Lulworthiales; Lulworthiaceae. The record is from RNAcentral.